Molecule: non-coding RNA, 593 nt
Organism: Paramisgurnus dabryanus
Lineage: Eukaryota; Metazoa; Chordata; Actinopteri; Cypriniformes; Cobitidae
Source: RefSeq, a predicted model, not a curated record
UAACUGGUUAAACUUAAAGCCGAUAUUUUCUAUCGAACUAGUCUAUUUUCUGUUCAGACACAAAGUUUUCUGAUGCUGAUAUUAUGUCAGUGUGUGUUUGUGUGGGGGUCGUGUGAUGUAAUCUUUGAAAGUUUAUGACCGAACCUUUAUUGGGGAGCAACAAGAGAUCUCCCGGACUCAGUUUGGAUGGAGCAGAGCUGUUAUACUCAAGUCUAUUGGUAUGUAUGUGUUUCGCUGUGUUCGUUCCAGUAUUUUGUCUGAUUUAUUUAAAAACUAAAAAUUCGAUCUCUGGUAUUGCAGCGAAAUUGUCUAAACUGGUAUUAACUAUUCCUGGUAAAUCGCGGAGAAGAGUGGCCUGACCAAAAAAGUCAGACCGAGACUAGAACCUCCCGCAGCGUAACAAGGAAAUCUUGGAACAAAAGAGACGCCGAGUGGCUCGUGUUGUCCGGUUUGGAUAUCAGCGGCAAAGCGAACGUUGCGUGUACUAUUGCAAAAUAUAUAGCGGAUCUCCACGGUUAGGAUACAGAACACAACGCUUUGGACGUAUCUUUAAAAAAGAGAAAAAUCAGAGACUUUUUGGAUUUGUCUGGGGC